GAAUCUUCCGCAAUGGACGAAAGUCUGACGGAGCACGCCGCGUGAACGAUGAAGGCUUUCGGGUCGUAAAGUUCUGUUGUUAGGGAAGAACAAGUAUCGGAGUAACUGCCGGGUCCUUGGCGGGGCCUAACCGGAAAGCCCCGGGGGACUACGGGCCCGCCGCCGCGGUAA
RNAcentral lists this ribosomal RNA (171 nucleotides) under bacterium SM15.900-O.63. RNAcentral's name for it is "partial 16S ribosomal RNA". It matches the Rfam family "Bacterial small subunit ribosomal RNA", at positions 359 to 523 of the family's 1533-position model. The record is from RNAcentral.